Molecule: long non-coding RNA, 1070 nt
Filed under: Salmo salar (Atlantic salmon)
Lineage: Eukaryota; Metazoa; Chordata; Actinopteri; Salmoniformes; Salmonidae
Description: lncRNA (ENSSSAG00000118183.1)
Source: RNAcentral
CUACACUACUGUGGACUACACUACUACACUACAGUGGACUACACUACUACACUACUACUAUACUACAGUGGACUACACUACUACACUACUACUACACUACAGUGGACUACACUACUACUACUAAUAUACUACACUACUACUACUAUACUACAGUGAACUACACUACUACUACUAUACUACAGUGAACUACACUACUACUACUAUUAUACUACAGUGGACUACACUACCACUACUACUACUACUACUACUAUACUACAGUGGACUACACUACCACUACUACUACUACUAUACUACAGUGGACUACACUACUACUACAGUGAACUACACUACUACUACUCCUACUACUACAGUGAACUACACUACUACUACUACCACUACUACUACAGUGAACUACACUACUACUACCACUACUACUACUAUACUACAGUGGACUACACUACUACUACUAUACUAAAGUGGACUACACUACUACUAUACUACAGUGGACUACACUACUACUACUAUACUACAGUGAACUACACUACCACUACUACUACUAUACUACAGUGGACUACACUACUACUAUACUACAGUGGACUACACUACUACUACUACUACUACUACUAUACUACCAGGACUUCUCCCUAUUUGAAACUAUGGAUCUUUAUUGCCUCACCUCUAACUCCAGACCGUUCUUCAACUCUGGGCUGACCCUUUAACCAGGUCUAAAACCAGGACAAUACCAGGACAAAACCAGGACAAUACCAGGUCUAAAACCAGGACAAUACCAGGGCGAACCAGGUCUAAAACCAGGACAAAACCAGGACAAUACCAGGUCUAAAACCAGGACAAUACCAGGACAAUACCAGGACAAAACCAGGACAAUACCAGGGCGAACCAGGUCUAAAACCAGGACAAUACUAGGACAAUACCAGGUCUAAAACCAGGACAAUACCAGGACAAAACCAGGACAAUACCAGGUCUAAAACCAGGACAAUACCAGGACAAAACCAGGACAAUACCAGGUCUAAAACCAGGACAAUACCAGGACAAAACCAGGACAAUACCAGGACAAAACCAGGACAAUACCA